This is a long non-coding RNA of Alligator sinensis (Chinese alligator), 1901 nucleotides long. RefSeq lists it as uncharacterized. The transcript is spliced from 3 exons. The record is from RefSeq and is a predicted model, not a curated record. NCBI's taxonomy places the organism in Eukaryota, Metazoa, Chordata, Crocodylia, Alligatoridae.
CUCCAUAAGACUUGCACUUAGUCUUGACUCUAGAAAAAUCUUUUUCUUCGUUCUGCCUUUCCAAAAUAAGAUGCUCUGUCUGUAUGUUGGGCAUGUUCCCCUUUGGAGCAGCAGCAAGACUAGUUCAGCUGAAGAGAAAAGAUGGCCAAGCAAAUGCCAGGCUAUAACUUAUGCUCAAAUGGGUCUCGUCGUACUAAGAACUGAAUCGAGAGUCCGGGGCAGCCGCCACAAAGUAAGGAUGAAAGGAAUGGAAACAACAAUCUGAACUAUUUUCAAAGUCAUUUAGAGACCUGUUUGUAUUUUUAAUGCAAUAUAGGGAAUGAGGGAAAACCACUUUGAACAGGUUUGAAUGGGCGGGAUAAUAGCUUAAUUAAAUCACCGUUGGACCGUAGAAAAUAAAUGCCUCCUGUCCUUGUCUUUUAAAGAAGGAAAGGGGGAUUGCUACCCUCCUUGGCGAGCACAUAUAUCCAAAUGUAAGCGUUACAUUUAAACUCCUCUCUCGUCCACACACUAAUAAUAACCAGAAGGGAUUAUGGGGGGUAUUAUUUAUUAUUUUAGUUGAUUUACUAAGGACAGCGAAUAUAAUCCCACGUGGGAUACAAGGGUGAGUUUGGGACAGACCCCGAGGCUGGAGGUGAACCCGAGAUGGCCGAGGGGUGGCUGAAACAUUCAAGGUGAUGAGACCGUCAAAAGGAUGGCAACUUUUUAAAGCGGUUCGUAACUUGGAAGCGAAAAAAACUCCGAACGCCUCGCUUGUUUGGCAAGAUCCUUUCUUUCGUCAGCGGUAAUCUGAGUGAUCAACCUUGGUCAUCGUUAGAAAAAUCAGAGCAAAGUGGGGGAGGGGUCAGGAUCAGUUCAACGGUGACCACCCGAGCUGCACAAAGCAGACGCGUCCUAGGUUGAACUGCCAAGGGCUACAACUCCAAGUGUCCUUAGCUAAGCAGCACUUGUUCCUCACCUCGUCACUACGUGGGCAAAGCCUGAGAAGCGGAUCUCCUGGGAGUCAUCAAAUACAUUCAAACACAAAGGAGAGAAGGGGUCACUCCCAAGUUUGGAGUCUUGCAAAAUGCUGAGAGCUGGGAGCGCCUCCUAAUCCGUCCCCAAACAAGCAAAGCCCUUUGAAGCUAGUCGUCUAGUUGCUGCUUUAAGGGUUUGGGUUUUUUUAAUGGAAAAACCCUUUCCGCAGAUAGACUGUCAUUUGGGCAGAUGACAAGCCGGCAAAACAUGAUGUGGGGGGGGGCGGUUUUUUGCCAGGGGCAAAAGGUUAACAGAUAAUUCUGCGGGUGGCAGACAGGUAGGUGGAUGCUGAAAACAUCUUCCACCGACGUGUCCUACUUUAGCGAUCCUAAUUAAAAGAGGGUUAAAGGAUGCACAAUCAAAAGAGCCACCGCUGCCUGCUGCCUCGGCAAUGGGUGUGGGGGACGCCGACAGGCACCAAGGGUGCAGACAGAAGUGCAGCUCCCAGCUGUAACUCGCAACGAUUUGCUCCCAGCUUGUCCCGCUGGGCGCCUCUGUCUAAAUAAAUAAAUAAAAUACAGCUCGCCCUUUGAUGUGAACUUAUCUCUUUUUGUUUGUUUGUUUGUUUGUUUUAACCGGGUUUCUUUCUUCUGAUGUGUGUGCUCAGAUACGUACCGUGGGGCCGUGGCCCACUUUCAGCCCCGCAGGUUGCGCCCUGUAUUGUGUGCAUUUCUGAAAGGCGAGGAGGUGGGGGAGUCUUGCAUGUAGCCUGGGAGUGUGAACCGAAUGAGUCUGAAGUAGGGGGGUCAGGGAACACACGGAGCAUCCUCUCCUUUUUUUACAUCUCCCCCCAACCAAGAGGAGCUGUGACUUUGUAAGGUACAGACUGGCUCUGUCUAACACUUUGAAGCAGUAAGGCAUCCAGUUUUGUCUUGUUUUUUUUU